UGAGGAAUAUUGGUCAAUGGGCAGGAGCCUGAACCAGCCAAGCCGCGUGAGGGAGGAAGGCCCUAUGGGUCGUAAACCUCUUUUGUCAGGGAACAAAAGCGAGUAUGUAUACUAGUCUGAGUGUACCUGAAGAAAAAGCAUCGGCUAACUCCGUGCCAGCAGCCGCGGUAAUACGGAGGAUGCGAGCGUUAUCCGGAUUUAUUGGGUUUAAAGGGUGCGUAGGCGGCGGUGCAAGUCAGCGGUAAAAGCCCGGGGCUCAACCCCGGCGAGCCGUUGAAACUGCAGUGCUAGAGAAGGCGAGAGGUACGCGGAAUGCGCAGUGUAGCGGUGAAAUGCUUAGAUAUUGCGCAGAACUCCGAUUGCGAAGGCAGCGUACUGGCGCCUGACUGACGCUGAGGCACGAAAGCGUGGGGAUCGAACAGGAUUAGAUACCC
Molecule: ribosomal RNA, 434 nt
Filed under: uncultured bacterium
Lineage: Bacteria
Description: bacterial SSU rRNA
Rfam family: Bacterial small subunit ribosomal RNA
Source: RNAcentral